UACAGGGGGGGCAAGCGUUGUUCGGAAUUACUGGGCGUAAAGGGUUCGUAGGUGGCCAACUAAGUCAGACGUGAAAUCCCUCAGCUUAACUGGGGAACUGCGUCUGAUACUGGUUGGCUUGAGUGCAGGAGAGGAAUGCGGAAUUCCAGGUGUAGCGGUGAAAUGCGUAGAUAUCUGGAGGAACACCGGUGGCGAAGGCGGCAUUCUGGACUGUAACUGACACUGAGGAACGAAAGCCAGGGGAGCAAACGGGAUUAGAAACCCUCGUAGUCC
Molecule: ribosomal RNA, 273 nt
Filed under: uncultured bacterium
Lineage: Bacteria
Description: partial 16S ribosomal RNA
Rfam family: Bacterial small subunit ribosomal RNA
Source: RNAcentral